Molecule: ribosomal RNA, 651 nt
Filed under: uncultured prokaryote
Description: bacterial SSU rRNA
Rfam family: Bacterial small subunit ribosomal RNA
Source: RNAcentral
AUUGAACGCUGGCGGCAGGCCUAACACAUGCAAGUCGAGCGGUAACACAGAGGAGCUUGCUCCUUGGGUGACGAGCGGCGGACGGGUGAGUAAUGCCUGGGGAUCUGCCCGAUAGAGGGGGAUAACUACGGGAAACUGUAGCUAAUACCGCAUAAUGUCUACGGACCAAAGUGGGGGCUCUUCGGACCUCAUGCUAUCGGAUGAACCCAGGUGGGAUUAGCUAGUUGGUGAGGUAAUGGCUCACCAAGGCGACGAUCUCUAACUGGUUUGAGAGAAUGACCAGUCACACUGGAACUGAGACACGGUCCAGACUCCUACGGGAGGCAGCAGUGGGGAAUAUUGCACAAUGGGCGCAAGCCUGAUGCAGCCAUGCCGCGUGUGUGAAGAAGGCCUUCGGGUUGUAAAGCACUUUCAGCGGGGAGGAAGGGUCACUAGUUAAUACCUAGUGGCAUUGACGUUACUCGCAGAAGAAGCACCGGCUAACUCCGUGCCAGCAGCCGCGGUAAUACGGAGGGUGCAAGCGUUAAUCGGAAUUACUGGGCGUAAAGCGCACGCAGGCGGUUUGUUAAGUCANAUGUGAAAUCCCCGAGCUCAACUUGGGAACUGCAUUUGAAACUGGCAAGCUAGAGUCUUGUANAGGGGGGUAGAAUU